Molecule: microRNA precursor, 108 nt
Organism: Sorghum bicolor (sorghum)
Lineage: Eukaryota; Viridiplantae; Streptophyta; Magnoliopsida; Poales; Poaceae
Rfam family: MIR5565 microRNA precursor family
Source: Rfam
GUAGUCGGAUUGGCAUCAAUCUACAUAUAUUGGGGUGGAAGGAGUGAAACUUGAACCAAAUUCCACCCCAAUCCACUCCAACAUAUGUGGAUUGAGGUGAAUCCGACA